UUUUGAGAACUUUUUUCACAAGUCCGCCAUUUUGUUUUUGUUUUUUUAUUUUUAUGUAUAUUUAAGGUUCGGGACCUAAAAUGAAGUCUACAGAAUAAUAAUCUCUUUGAAUUUUUUAUUUCAGAUGACUUUGGAAGGCUGUGUGUUUCCCCGAACCAACUCAUCUUUUCUUUGAGGACUCCAUAUUGACGAAAUCGGAAGAUCGUCGUGUA
Neodiprion fabricii is the source of this 212-nucleotide long non-coding RNA. RefSeq lists it as uncharacterized. The record is from RefSeq and is a predicted model, not a curated record. The transcript has 4 exons. NCBI's taxonomy places the organism in Eukaryota, Metazoa, Arthropoda, Insecta, Hymenoptera, Diprionidae.